This 350-nucleotide ribosomal RNA is filed under the name uncultured bacterium. Its description in RNAcentral is "bacterial SSU rRNA". It matches the Rfam family "Bacterial small subunit ribosomal RNA", at positions 30 to 366 of the family's 1533-position model. The record is from RNAcentral.
AUUGAACGCUGGAGGCGUGCUUAACACAUGCAAGUCGCGCGAGAAAGGGACUUCGGUUCUGAGUAGAGCGGCGCACGGGUGAGUAACGCGUGGGUAAUCUCCCCUGGUGAUCGGGAUAACAGCUGGAAACGGCUGCUAAUACCGGAUAAUCUUCAUGUUUAACUUCAUGAGGUAAAGGUGGCCUCUGCUUGCAAGCUACCACAUCAGGAUGAGCCCGCGUCUCAUUAGCUAGUUGGUGAGGUAAUGGCCCACCAAGGCUACGAUGAGUAGCUGGUCUGAGAGGAUGAUCAGCCACACUGGGACUGGAACACGGCCCAGACUCCUACGGGAGGCAGCAGUGGGGAAUAUUG